This 253-nucleotide ribosomal RNA is filed under the name uncultured bacterium. Its description in RNAcentral is "partial 16S ribosomal RNA". It matches the Rfam family "Bacterial small subunit ribosomal RNA", at positions 524 to 776 of the family's 1533-position model. The record is from RNAcentral.
UACGGGGGGGGCAAGCGUUGUCCGGAUUCAUUGGGCGUAAAGCGCGCGUAGGCGGCCCGGUAAGUCGGAUGUGAAAUCUCACGGUUCAACCGUGGAACUGCAUUCGAAACUGUCGGGCUAGAGGCAGGUAGGGGAGAUCGGAAUUCCCGGUGUAGCGGUGAAAUGCGCAGAUAUCGGGAGGAACACCGGUGGCGAAGGCGGAUCUCUGGGCCUGUCCUGACGCUCAGGCGCGAAAGCUAGGGGAGCGAACAGG